CCUACGGGAGACAGCAGUGAGGAAUAUUGGUCAAUGGACGCAAGUCUGAACCAGCCAUGCCGCGUGCAGGAAGACGGCUCUAUGGGUUGUAAACUGCUUUUGUACGAGGGUAAACUCAGAUACGCGUAUCUUUCUGUAAGUAUCUUACGAAUAAGGAUUGGCUAACUCCGUGCCAGCAGCCGCGGUAAUACGGAGGAUUCAAGCGUUAUCCGGAUUUAUUGGGUUUAAAGGGUGCGUAGGCGGUCGGAUAAGUUAGUUGUGAAAUCCCGAGGCUCAACUUCGGAAUUGCCUCUGAUACUGGUAGGCUAGAGAGCAGUUGCGGUAGGCGGAAUGUAUGGUGUAGCGGUGAAAUGCUUAGAGAUCAUACAGAACACCGAUUGCGAAGGCAGCUUACCAAGCUACUUCUGACGUUGAGGCACGAAAGCGUGGGGAGCAAACAGGAUUAGAUACCCUAGUAGUC
This 460-nucleotide ribosomal RNA is filed under the name uncultured bacterium. Its description in RNAcentral is "partial 16S ribosomal RNA". It matches the Rfam family "Bacterial small subunit ribosomal RNA", at positions 338 to 795 of the family's 1533-position model. The record is from RNAcentral.